AUGUUCGGUUUAACAUUUACGACUUUUCUUGUGGCCAGCUAUCUGUGCGCGGAUGGUUAUUUCUUGAAGAAUCCGAAGGCAACAACCGAGGAGCCAGAUGUACUCAUUGCUUCACAUCGUAAAACCGAGUUGGUGCAUCCAAGGAUUAUUGAAUCAUUUCAAAACCAGGAGAUAUUACACUUCCUCUCCCCGAGAGAUUCAAUCGCAACCGAGGAAGAUACAAAGAUUCUACUUACGGAACUACAUCCUUCGGUAACCGAUGUCUCAAAUGCAAUUUUUCAGACAUCAAAAAAAUGCACCGCGGAUUAUUACACGAGGACGGAAGAACACUCAAAAGUUCUAUUUUUUAAAUUAUUUUUCGUGCUGAAUCCAUUAACAGAUGUCGGUAAUGUCAAACCUGCAAGGAAACCCGGAGUAACAUCUCUAUUCUCUAGGUUUCCAAACGAAGAGGAGUUUCGUAUAUUUAUGACGAAAAGUUUAAACCGACAUGUUCAACUUCCCAACGACUCAAAUGCGGACACGUCAGCGCUGAUUGUCCCAGUAGGAGCAAAUCCUGAAGGGAGUCAGGAGUUUCAUCUUCAUACCCGUUCCUAUAAUCCUGUUAACUAUUUGCCAAAUAUCCCUAGUUUACCGGGUUAUUCUCGUCUUCCUAGCCUGCCGAGUGCCUCUAGUUUGCCAGGUUAUUCUCGUCUUCCUAGCCUGCCUAGUAUCUCUAUGCCCGGUAUGCCGCAAUUGCCUAGUUUUUCGCAAGCUUAUGAUCCGAUUGUCCGUGCAUUUAAGACGGCGUCGGGUUCUGCAGGGAACUUGCUUUUCAACACGAUAGCAAAUACUGUGGGGAAGCCAUCGGCGGAACGAGUGAAAAUCCUCCUCGAUAACUCGUACCUGAGACAAGUUGCGCUUUACAUGGUACCGGAGCCCAAGUUCGAGAUACCAAAAAACUUUCACGACAAACACGAUGGGAUAUUCCUCAAACUCCUCAUGAAUCAUGACCAGGGACCGACGAUCCUUCAGCUGAUAGAGUUGAUCUUGAAGCAUGUCAAGGUGACCAGGGAGUCCGGAAAGCCACCGCAGUACAGGAUCACCAACGUAGUCUGCCUUUUCUUGGCCGGGAAACGUAUCCUGCAGCCUCCUGAGGUAGUGGAAGACGUCGAACCUCAACUUAGCAGCGUUAGUGGCAGUUCCAAGGAUCGGGAUGGCUCGCAACACCCUAGUCGUAGUUCAUCACAGCGUGGUGACGAUGCUGCUAAGCUUGCUGCAAACCAAGGCGCAGUAUCUUCGAGACGGGGCGAAAGCGGCAGGAUCGAGCAACUGUGCGAGGACUGCCAGAGAGACGUGCAGAAAAAGCCAAAGCGGAACUGCGCCGGGUCCAAGUCGAUCAAACUCGGGCAGAAAUCGAUAAAGGCCGUGAAGAAGUUCGCGAACACGAAGAAACCGGAGGAUUUCCGGGACAGCGCCGGAGGUCUAUUUCUCAAGCUGGCCAUGAUGCGCCCCGAAGGAGAUUUGUACGUGAACACUCUCAGAGCGGUGGUCAACAACGUAGAGGUUCAGUACGAGGGGAAGACGCCCCACUACUACAUCGACUUCCUCGGCUUUGCCUCCUCGCCGGGGAUCGCCCCCCUUAUGGCCGAUAUCCCCGGGCUCCCCGGAGAGUUGAUACGUGGUCUCUCGCACGGGGCGGACCCCAAGAGGCAGCAAUCGCAGCCGCAGCAGCAGCCUAAACCGAAGUAA
This 1728-nucleotide long non-coding RNA is filed under the name Bemisia tabaci. Its description in RNAcentral is "lncRNA ENSSSA1UGG003746". Lineage: Eukaryota; Metazoa; Arthropoda; Insecta; Hemiptera; Aleyrodidae. The record is from RNAcentral.